UACGGGGGGGGCAAGCGUUGUUCGGAAUUACUGGGCGUAAAGGGCUCGUAGGCGGCCAACUAAGUCAGACGUGAAAUCCCUCGGCUUAACCGGGGAACUGCAUCUGAUACUGGAUGGCUUGAGUUCGGGAGAGGGAUGCGGAAUUCCAGGUGUAGCGGUGAAAUGCGUAGAUAUCUGGAGGAACAUCGGUGGCGAAGGCGACAUCCUGGACCGAUAUUGACGCUGAGGCGCGAAAGCCAGGGGAGCAAACGGG
Molecule: ribosomal RNA, 253 nt
Filed under: uncultured bacterium
Lineage: Bacteria
Description: partial 16S ribosomal RNA
Rfam family: Bacterial small subunit ribosomal RNA
Source: RNAcentral